RNAcentral lists this ribosomal RNA (496 nucleotides) under uncultured bacterium. RNAcentral describes it as "partial 16S ribosomal RNA". It matches the Rfam family "Bacterial small subunit ribosomal RNA", at positions 28 to 507 of the family's 1533-position model. The record is from RNAcentral.
GAUGAACGCUGGCGGCGUGCCUAAUACAUGCAAGUCGAGCGAACAGACGAGGAGCUUGCUCCUCUGACGUUAGCGGCGGACGGGUGAGUAACACGUGGAUAACCUACCUAUAAGACUGGGAUAACUUCGGGAAACCGGAGCUAAUACCGGAUAAUAUAUUGAACCGCAUGGCUCAAUAGUGAAAGACGGUUUUGCUGUCACUUAUAGAUGGAUCCGCGCCGCAUUAGCUAGUUGUAAGGUAACGGCUUACCAAGGCAACGAUGCGUAGCCGACCUGAGAGGGUGAUCGGCCACACUGGAACUGAGACACGGUCCAGACUCCUACGGGAGGCAGCAGUAGGGAAUCUUCCGCAAUGGGCGAAAGCCUGACGGAGCAACGCCGCGUGAGUGAUGAAGGUCUUCGGAUCGUAAAACUCUGUUAUUAGGGAAGAACAAAUGUGUAAGUAACUAUGCACGUCUUGACGGUACCUAAUCAGAAAGCCACGGCUAACUACGUG